UACGUAGGGGGCAAGCGUUGUCCGGAAUCAUUGGGCGUAAAGAGCGCGUAGGCGGCCCUGUAAGUCCGCUGUGAAAGUCAAGGGCUCAACCCUUGAAUGCCGGUGGAUACUGCAGGGCUAGAGUCCGGAAGAGGCGAGUGGAAUUCCUGGUGUAGCGGUGAAAUGCGCAGAUAUCGAGAGGAACACCAGUGGCGAAGGCGAGUCCCUGGACAACUCCUGACACUGAGGCACGAAAGCUAGGGGAGCAAACGGG
Molecule: ribosomal RNA, 253 nt
Filed under: uncultured bacterium
Lineage: Bacteria
Description: partial 16S ribosomal RNA
Rfam family: Bacterial small subunit ribosomal RNA
Source: RNAcentral